AAAAAAGGUAAGCUACUAAGAGCGAAUGGUGGAUGCCUUGACUGGUAAAGGCGAUGAAGGACGUACUAGACUGCGAUAAGCUACGGGGAGCUGUCAAGAAGCUUUGAUCCGUAGAUUUCCGAAUGGGGCAACCCAAUGUAUAGAGAUAUACAUUACCUAUAUAGGAGCGAACGAGGGGAAUUGAAACAUCUUAGUACCCUCAGGAAAAGAAAUCAAUAGAGAUUGCGUCAGUAGCGGCGAGCGAAAGCGCAAGAGGGCAAACCCAGUGCUUGCACUGGGGGUUGUAGGACUGCAAUGUGCAAGAGCUGAGUUUAGCAGAACAUUCUGGAAAGUAUAGCCAUAGAGGGUGAUAGUCCCGUAUGCGAAAAACAAAGCUUAGCUAGCAGUAUCCUGAGUAGGGCGGGACACGAGGAAUCCUGUCUGAAUCCGGGUCGACCACGAUCCAACCCUAAAUACUAAUACCAGAUCGAUAGUGCACAAGUACCGUGAGGGAAAGGUGAAAAGAACUGAGGUGAUCAGAGUGAAAUAGAACCUGAAACCAUUUGCUUACAAUCAUUCAGAGCACUAUGUAGCAAUACAGUGUGAUGGACUGCCUUUUGCAUAAUGAGCCUGCGAGUUGUGGUGUCUGGCAAGGUUAAGCAAACGCGAAGCCGUAGCGAAAGCGAGUCUGAAUAGGGCGCUUAGUCAGAUGCUGCAGACCCGAAACGAAGUGAUCUAUCCAUGAGCAAGUUGAAGCUAGUGUAAGAACUAGUGGAGGACUGAACCCAUAGGCGUUGAAAAGCCCCGGGAUGACUUGUGGAUAGGGGUGAAAGGCCAAUCAAACUUCGUGAUAGCUGGUUCUCUCCGAAAUAUAUUUAGGUAUAGCGUUGUGUCGUAAUAUAAGGGGGUAGAGCACUGAAUGGGCUAGGGCAUACACCAAUGUACCAAACCCUAUCAAACUCCGAAUACCUUAUAUGUAAUCACAGCAGUCAGGCGGCGAGUGAUAAAAUCCGUCGUCAAGAGGGAAACAACCCAGACUACCAGCUAAGGUCCCUAAAUCUUACUUAAGUGGAAAACGAUGUGAAGUUACUUAAACAACCAGGAGGUUGGCUUAGAAGCAGCCAUCCUUUAAAGAAAGCGUAAUAGCUCACUGGUCUAGUGAUUUUGCGCGGAAAAUAUAACGGGGCUAAAGUAAGUACCGAAGCUGUAGACUUGCGCACAACUUAGAUUAUUUAAGUUUAGAAUAUGAGAAACUAAGUUAUAUUUUUACUGAUUUUUAUAGAGUAAAGAUAGAAAUAAAACUUAGUAAAAUCAGUAAAAAUAUUCUUAGGCUAAAGUUAAGUAGUUUAAGUUGUGUGCAAGUGGUAGGAGAGCGUUCUAUUUGCGUCGAAGGUAUACCGGUAAGGAGUGCUGGAGCGAAUAGAAGUGAGCAUGCAGGCAUGAGUAGCGAUAAUUAAUGUGAGAAUCAUUAACGCCGUAAACCCAAGGUUUCCUACGCGAUGCUCGUCAUCGUAGGGUUAGUCGGGUCCUAAGUCGAGUCCGAAAGGGGUAGACGAUGGCAAAUUGGUUAAUAUUCCAAUACCAACAUUAGUGUGCGAUGGAAGGACGCUUAGGGCUAAGGGGGCUAGCGGAUGGAAGUGCUAGUCUAAGGUCGUAGGAGGUUAUACAGGCAAAUCCGUAUAACAAUACUCCGAGAACUGAAAGGCUUUUUGAAGUCUUCGGAUGGAUAGAAGAACCCCUGAUGCCGUCGAGCCAAGAAAAGUUUCUAAGUUUAGCUAAUGUUGCCCGUACCGUAAACCGACACAGGUGGGUGGGAUGAGUAUUCUAAGGCGCGUGGAAGAACUCUCUUUAAGGAACUCUGCAAAAUAGCAC
RNAcentral lists this ribosomal RNA (1851 nucleotides) under Campylobacter jejuni. Its description in RNAcentral is "partial 23S ribosomal RNA". It matches the Rfam family "Bacterial large subunit ribosomal RNA", at positions 1 to 1728 of the family's 2925-position model. Lineage: Bacteria; Pseudomonadati; Campylobacterota; Epsilonproteobacteria; Campylobacterales; Campylobacteraceae. The record is from RNAcentral.